GAUGAACGCUGGCGGCGUGCCUAAUACAUGCAAGUCAAGCGAACGGACGAGAAGCUUGCUUCUCUGAUGUUAGCGGCGGACGGGUGAGUAACACGUGGAUAACCUACCUAUAAGACUGGGAUAACUUCGGGAAACCGUAGCUAAUACCGGAUAAUAUUUUGAACCGCAUGGUUCAAAAGUGAAAGACGGUCUUGCUGUCACUUAUAGAUGGAUCCGCGCUGCAUUAGCUAGUUGGUAAGGUAACGGCUUACCAAGGCAACGAUGCAUAGCCGACCUGAGAGGGUGAUCGGCCACACUGGAACUGAGACACGGUCCAGACUCCUACGGGAGGCAGCAGUAGGGAAUCUUCCGCAAUGGGCGAAAGCCUGACGGAGCAACGCCGCGUGAGUGAUGAAGGUCUGCGGAUCGUAAAACUCUGUUAUUAGGGAAGAACAUAUGUGUAAGUAACUGUGCACAUCUUGACGGUACCUAAUCAGAAAGCCACGGCUAACUACGU
RNAcentral lists this ribosomal RNA (496 nucleotides) under uncultured bacterium. RNAcentral's name for it is "partial 16S ribosomal RNA". It matches the Rfam family "Bacterial small subunit ribosomal RNA", at positions 28 to 506 of the family's 1533-position model. The record is from RNAcentral.